Molecule: ribosomal RNA, 206 nt
Filed under: uncultured bacterium
Lineage: Bacteria
Description: partial 16S ribosomal RNA
Rfam family: Bacterial small subunit ribosomal RNA
Source: RNAcentral
GACAGAGGGUGCAAACGUUGUUCGGAAUUACUGGGCGUAAAGCGCGUGUAGGCGGCUAAGUAAGUCGGGCGUGAAAUCCCACGGCUCAACCGUGGAAGUGCACUCGAAACUGACAUAGCUAGAGUCCUGGAGAGGAAGGUGGAAUGCUUGGUGUAGAGGUGAAAUUCGUAGAUAUCAAGCGGAACACCGGUGGCGAAGGGCGGCCU